RNAcentral lists this transfer RNA (76 nucleotides) under bacterium. RNAcentral's name for it is "tRNA-Lys". It matches the Rfam family "tRNA". Rfam says of the family: Transfer RNA (tRNA) molecules are approximately 80 nucleotides in length. Their secondary structure includes four short double-helical elements and three loops (D, anti-codon, and T loops). Further hydrogen bonds mediate the characteristic L-shaped molecular structure. tRNAs have two regions of fundamental functional importance: the anti-codon, which is responsible for specific mRNA codon recognition, and the 3' end, to which the tRNAs corresponding amino acid is attached (by aminoacyl-tRNA synthetases). tRNAs cope with the degeneracy of the genetic code in two manners: having more than one tRNA (with a specific anti-codon) for a particular amino acid; and 'wobble' base-pairing, i.e. permitting non-standard base-pairing at the 3rd anti-codon position. RNAcentral also lists the same sequence under 1 other name. The record is from RNAcentral.
GAGACCAUAGCUCAGUCGGUAGAGCAUCUCACUUUUAAUGAGAGGGUCGAUGGUUCGAAUCCAUCUGGUCUCACCA